GAGAGGCAUUUUGGAAUUUGUCGUUGGAUUGUUGAAGUGCCGGUUUAAUUCAUUCAUGUAUCUGCAUCUUCAAUAAACCUUCCUAGAAGGCGUCCAAUGUGACAGGUAGGGGGGCUCCCAGGAGGAAUUUACAUCCUGGAAGUACAGUUUCUUUCUUUUUUGGAAAGAAAUUUUAUUGUCGUAGAGGGGACUUACAACCUCGCCUGAGUUUCUGUGGUGCGGCAAAGUGAAUUUCAGGUCAGUGCUGUCCACAUCAGAGCCGUGAGCACAAAUGCACGGAUUGUACUCUGCUCCGCCCCUGCCUGUCUCCUUCAAGUUCAGGGGCCUCUUCUGGAACCCAUAAAUAGGACAUUGGGAGUUCCCUUCGUGGCUCAGGAUUGAACCCACAACCUCAUGGUUCCUAGUCGGAUUCGUUAACCACUGUGCCACGACAGGAACUCCUAGAGUUCCUUUUUAAAAAAAAAAAAAAAAUUUUUUUUAUUUAAGUGUGGUUGCUUUACAAUGUUCUUUCAAUUUCUCCUGUACAGCAAAGUGACCCAGUUAUCUAUCUGUCUGUCUGUCUGCCUAUCUAUCUAUCUGCACAGUCUCUCUUUAUUUAUUUUUUUCAUUCUAUCUUCCAUCGUGUUCUAACCCAAGAGACUGGACCUCGUUCCUCGUGCUGUACAGUGGGACCAAGCAUACAGAGAACUUUGGGCAGUGCCCAGCACACAGCCACUGAUGGAUACCUAUCAAUCGUGUUAGGAAAGAGAGAAAAAGAAGGAGGGGGACGUGGAGGAAAAGGAACAAGAGGGCCUGGGAGAGCAUGGAGUGCGGAAAAAGAAAAGAAAGGAAAGGAGGGAGACUGGAGAGAGAAGAGAAGACGGGCCCCCCUCCCCCCGGGGCACGUUGUUUGCGCGUUUUCAAGCCUGGCCCACAUUGUCCCCGCCAGGUCCUCGCGGGCCCGGUUGCACAUACUAAACACAGACUCCAGACACGGACACAAUAGGCCAGCGCCACGCCGUCCACACCUUCACUUUGCUGGACAGAAGCGUUUCCUUGGUGCAACUUUAUGACCCGGAAACCAGACGACACAAACUAUGAGCGUUUUCUAUUUUAUAGCGAAAUAUAACGCCGUACUUUUAUGUCUCUUUCAUGAGUUUGGGAGCGUGAGCCACAGAGGCAUGCCCGUGGCAGGUACCCCCACCUCACCCUGGGGGGUGUUUGGCGGUGGGGGGGGUGCCUCCCUUCCACCAUAUGAAAUAUUUCUGGUUGUCCAGUUAAAACGGGGAGAUAGCCGUGAUUGCUUUUAGAUUGCUGCUUCCACAUGGAGUGAAUUUUAUAAUAAGAAGCCAUUUUUCCCCCCCACCGGGCUGCCCUUGUGCCCGCCUCUCUGACUUUGAGGUCCUCAUUAUUGUGGGUUUAAAUGAAGGCUGUUCAUUCAGGCAGGGACGGAGGGGAGGCCACCAGGCAUCAGAGCUGUUAUCAGGCCCCUCUAUCAGGCCAAGUGACAGGCGUCCGGAGCAAGAAUGCAGAGCUCACGGUGGAGACCUCCAGCUGACACCAAAGGUGACUCCCCUCACUCUAACCUUGAAAGGGAAAGUUCCCACUUUAUUAAAAUGAAUUUCAAAAGGGCCGCUCUGACAGCUGCAUAAUUAAAUAUUGGAGUGUCAGCGAUAAUUUAUUCCACUCGCAUGUGGUGGUCAGAUCCUUUUCACAAGAGGGUCAGCAGGCAUGGUGACAGAGGCAAGGAGACGGGGGAUUCUAGGCCCUUUGUCCUUAAUGGAACCCCAGCCCUGACAUCGGAGACUCAUGACACAUACAAACACACGCAGGUGCGCACCACCCCCCCCACCCACACAGAUGCACAUGUCCCGGAAAGGUCUGUUGUGAUCCACCCAGUUCAAAUCUGAUAUGUGUUCAUUAGGAAUAGGACACAUGAUAAAAACAAUAUAUUUUUAUAUAUAUGUGAAGGACUAGGUCACUUGAUAUUGUCCAGUAGCUAUUGACAGAACACUGUAAAUCAACUAUAAUGGAAAGAAUAAAAAGCAUAAAAUAAAAGUUAAAAAAAGGAAUAGUACACCUAAGAUGCUCAACACAUGUGUGUAUAGACUUUCAACCUAUGUUUGGGGGGCUCCGUGAACACCAUAGCUCUUUCUGGGGAAGCGGCCUUCCCCGGCUCCCUAACUGGUCUCUUCCUCCAGCGAACUUGAUGCAGGAGGGGAUCCCAGAGAGGAGAGUGGAUAGAACUGCCGGGACAGGAGCUUCUGUACAAGCAGGUGCAGAGCCAGUGACUUCCUACACUCAGCGUAGGCUCUUUGGUGUCCUCUGAGCCUCCCAGUCAACAGCAGUUGAAUGUGCGGUCGCAGGGUCGGCUGCCUCUCUGGGUGUGCGUUUUGUUGGGAGAAACCUGUCUUUUGUAAGCAGAGGUAGCGGAAAGAAAAUGUGGGCUUUGGAGCCAGACACGGGAUCCUGUCUCAUGAUGAAUGUAGCUCAAUUUCCCACCGCAGCCAGUGGCAUAUUGCUUCAUACAUAAAUGCCUAUAAAAAAAAUGGAAAACAGAGCUGGAGCGAAUGCAGCCCAGACCUUCUCCGUAUGUGUAUUCUUUGUUUAUGGUGGCGUUUUGCUUUGUUUUGUUGCAGCUGGGGAUCCGUUGUAGUCUUUUUCCUCCUCGGUAGCUCAGAGGCAGUGAGCUAGGGCUUCUGGGGGCCCCACGGUCCAGAGGGUUCUGCCUGUGGCGUAUCGACCUAGAGAGCCAGCCCAGGAGCCCAGUCCAUCACUCCUGAUUUGACCCUGUCCUGUUUACUCUGUCGGGGUAAAAGCGCAGGCCAGGCUCGGCUCGUCGGUGCAUGACUUUGUCAGAGGCAGGCUUGGCUACUCCGAGUCAGCCUGAACAAAUUACCUCCCUCACGCCAUCGCCGAACCGGGAGCAGGGUUAUAACUCAGUCUAAGCACCGGUCCCUCUCCUCUUGCCUUCAUAACCAAGGUCAUACUAAUCAGCUCAAUUACCAGUCCUCUCGGACAUUUUCAUAAUGUUUUCUGCUAGUUGCUCUCCUGUGAAAAUCUCUCGGUCUAAGCAAAUUAAUGCCAUUUUUAUAACCAUCUCCAUUUCAGGUACAGUGGUCUCCUUUGAAAAGACUGUAUCGCCGGCCACAUAAACUAGCUUUCCCUCCCAGCAUAACAUCCAGACAAGGUUGGGGUAUUGCCCUCGUCCGUUCUGGAAUUUUUUUUUUUUUUAAAUACAUAAUGCAGAGAAAUGGUCUGAUUUUUAGGGAAACCUGAAAUCACAAGGAGCUUUGGUCGCUUCUGGGGGCAGAGCAUUGAAUCGCCUCUCUACCCUCUCACCCAUUCCCAACUUGGCAGCAAGCUGGGCAUUUCAGCCGGGCUUUUCCAGCCUGCACUUCCCGAGAUGGGAGAAGGUGGAAUUGCAUUAUUCCCCUCGAAGGGGGUAGUCGUAAUCCUGAUGAGUUUGCAGAUGUGUUUCCUUUUGCCUUCCCUUUGCCCCAUCUCACGUCACACCCCCUCCCCAGUCCACCCCCCCCCCCCCCCCNACACACACACACACACUUUGAGAGCCGUUGGGGGCGAUUGUAUAGCCUUCUGUCUUUCAGAUGUUUUUUCAGGUUAUCUAAUGUGAUUCCCAUAGCAGAUCUAUGAGCGUUCGAAAUCACCCCAUUUGGGCAAUAGCCCAUAUUUUGAAAAUUUCCUAACAGCACAAUUGCUGGGUAGCUUGUGCCUUGAAGGCGUUAGAUGGACUGGUGUUCUGAGUGGGUGCUGGUUAAGGGCCAUCCAGGUGCAAAAUGCAAACCACUGCUUUUCUUGAGCACAGGAAGCUAACCAGGGCACACGGUGACUGCUGGCUUUUCGUCUCUGAACGGCCACCUCUGGUGCAUGCUCAAAUUAUUAAUUAAAACGAAGCCCUGUAAUGCCAUGUCUGCAUCCAGUGGAAUGUGUCUUGCUCAUGGUAGGCCCUGACUAAAGCCCAGGUGAAUGAAUAAAUUAUUGCUCCACCUAUUAACCCUUCAAUGGACUCGCUUCUUUGCUCAGAAGAGACACCAAGCCGCGUAGAGAGGGCAAGACUGAUUUCAGCUUCAUCUGAAGUGCUUCUUCAUUCCUUUAUUUUAAAAAAAGGAGCGGGGAGCAAUGAAGCCAACAGGACACAGUGCUAGCAGUUCCACUCGUGAAUGGUGAGAAUAAAUGUUUUCCCACGCGUUCCAGCGUGGUUUUCAGACUAUUACAUUUCUCCCCAAACAUGCAUGUAAUGAUGGGGAGGUCUGGCUGGGCCUGGACCUCGAAGUCAGGGCAGGCGUUAGGUAAUAGAGCCAGCUCCGUGUACCCAUCAGGCACUGGGCCAGAACACGGUGCUGUACUGGUGUCUAGCGUCUCGUGGGAUUCUUCCCAUCCUGGGUCUUCUCAUCCUCUCCACCUGGAAGUCGGGAAAACUGAGACCCAGAAUGCCUGGGUCACUUUCCCAAGGUUGCACAAGCCAAAGGAGACAGAGACGAGCUUCAGGCCACAGUGAACUCACAUUCCCUGCUUUUGUUUUGCUGUGGUUGAUGUUUUUUUGGGGGUUUUCUUACAAACAUUUAAAAAACUGAGGUAUCACUCUCUCAACAGUCAUUUAUGCAUUUAAAAUAUACAAUUCUGGAAUUCCCGCUGUGGCUCAGUGGAAACGAGGAUGCAGUUUCAAUUCCUGGCUUUGCUCAGUGGUUAGGGGAUCCGGCACUGCUGUGAGCUGUGGUGUAGCUCACAGACGAGGCUUGGAUCCUGUGUUGCUGUGGCUGUGGUGUAGGCCAGUGGCUGUAGCUCCGAUUCAACCCCUAGCCUGGGAACUUCCAUACGCUGUGGGCACAGCCCUCAAAAAGCAAAAAUAUAUAUACAUAUAUAUAAAAUAUACAAUUCUUCUCUCCAUACAAAAUAAAAUGAGGGAUCUAAUUCAUUGGCAUUUGGUAAAUUUGCAGUGUUGCACCACCAUAACCUCCCUCUAGUUUCAAAACCCUCUCAUCAUCCCAGAAAUCCACCCUAUACCCACUAAAUAAUCACUUCUCGUUCCUCUCUGCCCACUCAUUUACUUUUGGUCUCUAUGGAUUUGACUGUUCUGGACAUUUCCUAUCAAAACAGUCAUAAAACAUGUGAGCUUUUGUGUCUGACUUCUUCUUUCACUUAGCACAGUGUUCUUGAGUUCAUCUCAGCUGUAGCCUGUGCCAGUACUUCAUUUUUAACAGCUGCAUAAUAUUCCACGAUAUCAAUAUAGCUCGUAUUGUUCAUGCAUGAUCCACUGAUGGACUGUAGGGUUCUGUCUGCCUAUUGGCUGUCCUGACUAUGGCUGUUGGGGACACUUAUGUACAAGUUUAUAUAUCCAUGUAUGUUUUUAUUUCUCUUGGGGAUAAACUUAGGAGUGGGCUUGCUGGUCAUACGGCGAAUCUAUGUUUAACUUUUUGAGGAACUGCCAGACUCUUUCCAGAGUGGCUGCCCCAUUUAGCAGAAAAUCCCUGCCCUUCAUCUAAGGCGCUAGACUGUUCCUUAAAUUCUUUCUGCAGAAAGAGUUAAGGAGGCUCCUCAGGUAACUGUAAUCAUCCCCGAGGGACCUGCUCAGCUCACAGCGCUGCGCGCGUGUGUAGCUGGAAUAGCCGGGAGGCAUCCAGUCCCCUGUUAUUUCCGUCUCUCUCCGCACCCUUUCCCACCCUAUUCAAGCUCUAUAUUACCCGCGAGUGAAGGAAGAUGGGCAACCUACAGACAUGGAGGGAGGUGGAGAGUGACACCUAGCCUUCCUGAGUGCCAGCUAGAAUCCUGGGCACUUUCACCUCUGCAUCUCUCUCUUCAGCACCCCUCAGGGAAGGGGAAGAAAUCCAGCCACAAAUCUAAACAAACUCCAAAGGAAACAGAGUUUGGAGAACUCCCUUAGCUUGCCCGGCAUCACAGAGCUUGUUUGCAUCCCAUCCGGAGACCAGAAUUGGGUCUCUCCACGCCUGCGUGGGCUGCCAUGGCCUCUAAGUCCUUCCUUCAUAUUUUGGAAAACUUUAAAAAAAAAGAGUGGGAGAUAUGAAGCAAACCUUGAAAAAGUUCAAGGUUCUUCAGAGUUCCCGUUGUGGUUCAGCAGGUUAAGAAUUGACUUGUCUCCGUGAGGAUGCAGGUUUGAUCCUUGGCCUCGCUCAGUGAGUUAAGGGUCCGGCAUUGCUGCAAGCUGCCGUGUAGGUCACCUCUGCAGCUCAGAUCCCACGCUGCUGUGGCGGCAGCUCCAAUUCGACCCCUACUCUGGGAACUUCCAUAUGCUGCGGGUGCCGCAAAACAGGGUGCCUUCCGCUUUAAAGCCUGGGCUACAGCUCGAUCCCAGAGCCUCUUUACAGAUCUUUUAAGCCUUUAGAGAGAAAGUUGUAGAGAGUCUGGUACACAUCAAUCCUGUGGGCUGGGCAGGUGCUUUUGCUAUUUUACAAACCAAAGCCCUCUCAACCGCCCCUGCCCCCCGUCCCCCGCUCACCAUCUUGAAAAGUCAACAGAUUUGGCCCCAGGGUGGAGGCGAGGAAGCUAUGACUCAGGACAGAACGUCCCCUGUGUCUAAAGUCUCCCACUUGGCAGGCAGCGGCUUCUGCCUAAGUCGAUUUUUCCCGACUCUGGCCUGGAGCUUGUUUUUAUCAUGUCCAGGGUCCCACUUGCAGGUCAGAGAGCACAGAAAGCCUUCGCUCCCAAGACCCAGGCCAGAAAGGCCAUCCAGGCCUGAACAGCAUGGCGGUGCCUGGCCUCACUGCACUUCUCCACCUGGAAGAUGGAGGGCUGUGUAGACAUGCGUUGUUUUCCUGUGGUCCCCCUCAGCCCCUGUUCUUGGAAUUCCCAAAAAUGGCAGGCAGGCCUCCUUUGCCUCUCUUCCCACCGCCCCCAACUCCCCAGCCCUUCUGCUGUCCUUCUGAAUCCAGGGAAGGCCCUCCAGCCCAGAAUUCGGUACAGGGCAGAGCAAGUGCCAACGUGUCCUUCCUGCUUCACACACAUGGCUAAAGCCAGAAACAGAUGUGGAAGCCAGCAGUGGACAGGAGGGCCUUCUAGCCAAACAGUCAUCGGACGGGGCCUGCGAAGCAGGUGGUAGGUAGGGUAGCUGGAGAGCCCCAGAUCAAGGGUCAGAGGCCUGGUGGUAGCCCAGCCUUGACACAGACCCCCUUUGUGACUCCAGGAAUGUCCCUUGUCCUCUCUGGACCCUUUUCCUGAAUGGGAACUAUGAGAGGGGUCCAGCUGAAACUGGCAUCUGUUAGGAGAGUUCUUAGAGCAGGCCACACCCUCCCAAGUAGCUCAGCAGGACAGGCCCUGUGGACCAGCACCCAGAACUCUCCUGUAACACAGCACAAUCUUUUUUUCUUUUUUCUUUUUCUUUGUUGGCCACCCCAUAGCAGAUGGAGUUCCCGGGCCAGGCAUCAGGAUGUAGCCGCAGUAGCAACCUACACCCCAACUGUCGCAACGCCGGCAUUGUGCCGGGCCUGGGAUCGAACCUGCGUCCUGGGUCUGCCAAGAUGCCACUCAUCCCUUUGUGCCACAGCGGGAACUCCAGACAUCACAGUCUUCAGGACAGCCUCCCUGCUUGUCCCACAAGGAGAUUUCAGACCAGCUGAGAUGACCAGCUCAGCGAUCCCAACUCGUCGUUGUCUCCACUAUCUCAGGAGAAGUUUCUGAAAUGCCCUUCAGUCGUCCAGUCUCCCAUGUGUGGUCAGGAGAAACAGUUUCCUGUUGAGUGCCCUGUGUUUCUUCUGCAUGUUUCCUUUUACAAACAUCAUCACAUUGAAUCCUCACCAACAUCCUGAUGGCACUGUCAUCAUCUCUGAUUUACGGUUGAGGAAAUACGGGAUCAGAAAGAGUAAAUGAUUUACCCCAGGUCAUGCAGCUAGCAAGUAGGAGAAUUGGAAUUUGACCCAGCUCUGACUCCAAAAGCCCUUGUCUCUGCUGCCUUCGGAUGCAUUUUCUUUUCUUUUCUUUUUCUUUUUCUUUUUUUUUUUUUUUUUGUCUUUCUGCCAUUUCUUGGGCCGCUGUCGCGGCAUAUGGAGGUUCCCAGGCUAGGGGUCCAAUCGGAGCCUGUAGCCGCCAGCCUACACCAGAGCCACAGCAACACGGGAUACAAGCUGCAUCUGCAGCCUACACCACAGCUCACGGCAAUGCCGGAUCCUUCACCCACGGAGCGAGGCCAGGGAUCGAACCCACAACCUCAUGGUUCCUAGUCGGAUUCGUUAACCACUGCGCCACGACGGGAACUUUGGAUGCAUUUUCUUGUGAGGAACAUCCUACAACCACACUGAUAUGAUCGCUUAAUUUUAUCUUUGGAUAAAGAUGGUACCAGUCUCAUCAGCCAGUGAAUUGUAUGUGUGCUCUAAAUAAUGACUGAUUGAGAAAAUUAAAUGUGGUAUAAAUUACUUCCCUGGGAGUAAAUGAUCGCAUGAGCCCAUCGUACAAGAUACAGUUUUUACUCUAAAAAAAAAAAACAAAAAACAAAAAAAAAAACUACUCU
Molecule: long non-coding RNA, 8458 nt
Filed under: Sus scrofa (pig)
Lineage: Eukaryota; Metazoa; Chordata; Mammalia; Artiodactyla; Suidae
Description: lncRNA (ENSSSCG00030058339.1)
Source: RNAcentral